AUGAACGCUAGCGACAGGCUUAACACAUGCAAGUCGAGGGGCAGCACGGUGUAGCAAUACAUUGGUGGCGACCGGCGCACGGGUGAGUAACGCGUAUGCAACCUACCUAUCAGAGGGGAAUAACCCGGCGAAAGUCGGACUAAUACCGCAUAAAACAGGGGUUCCACAUGGAAAUAUUUGUUAAAGAUUUAUCGCUGAUAGAUGGGCAUGCGUUCCAUUAGAUAGUUGGUGAGGUAACGGCUCACCAAGUCUACGAUGGAUAGGGGUUCUGAGAGGAAGGUCCCCCACACUGGUACUGAGACACGGACCAGACUCCUACGGGAGGCAGCAGUGAGGAAUAUUGGUCAAUGGGCGAGAGCCUGAACCAGCCAAGUCGCGUGAAGGAUGAAGGAUCUAUGGUUUGUAAACUUCUUUUAUAUGGGAAUAAAGUGAGGAACGUGUUCCGUUUUGUAUGUACCAUAUGAAUAAGCAUCGGCUAACUCCGUGCCAGCAGCCGCGGUAAUACGGAGGAUGCGAGCGUUAUCCGGAUUUAUUGGGUUUAAAGGGUGCGUAGGUGGUUUUUUAAGUCAGCGGUGAAAGUUUGUGGCUCAACCAUAAAAAUUGCCGUUGAAACUGGGGAACUUGAGUAUAUUUGAGGUAGGCGGAAUGCGUGGUGUAGCGGUGAAAAUGCAUAUAUAUCACGCAGAACUCCGAUUGGCGAAAGGGCGCUUAACUAAACUAUAACUGACACUGAAGCACGAAAGCGUGGGGAUCAAACAGGAUUAGAUACCCUGGUAGUCCACGCAGUAAACGAUGAUUACUAGCUGUUUGCGAUACACAGUAAGCGGCACAGCGAAAGCGUUAAGUAAUCCACCUGGGGAGUACGCCGGCAACGGUGAAACUCAAAGGAAUUGACGGGGGCCCGCACAAGCGGAGGAACAUGUGGUUUAAUUCGAUGAUACGCGAGGAACCUUACCCGGGUUUGAACGCAUUCGGACCGACUGUGAAAGCAGUCUUUCAGCAAUGACCGUUUGCGAGGUGCUGCAUGGUUGUCGUCAGCUCGUGCCGUGAGGUGUCGGCUUAAGUGCCAUAACGAGCGCAACCCUUAUCACUAGUUACUAACAGGUCAUGCUGAGGACUCUAGUGAGACUGCCAGCGUAAGCUGUGAGGAAGGUGGGGAUGACGUCAAAUCAGCACGGCCCUUACAUCCGGGGCGACACACGUGUUACAAUGGUGGGGACAAAGGGCAGCUACACAGCGAUGUGAUGCUAAUCUCCAAACCCCAUCUCAGUUCGGAUCGAAGUCUGCAACCCGACUUCGUGAAGCUGGAUUCGCUAGUAAUCGCGCAUCAGCCAUGGCGCGGUGAAUACGUUCCCGGGCCUUGUACACACCGCCCGUCAAGCCAUGGGAGUUGGGGGUACCUAAAGUCCGUAACCGCAAGGAUCGGCCUAGGGUA
This 1435-nucleotide ribosomal RNA is filed under the name uncultured organism. RNAcentral's name for it is "SSU rRNA". It matches the Rfam family "Bacterial small subunit ribosomal RNA". The record is from RNAcentral.